Molecule: ribosomal RNA, 433 nt
Filed under: uncultured bacterium
Lineage: Bacteria
Description: partial 16S ribosomal RNA
Rfam family: Bacterial small subunit ribosomal RNA
Source: RNAcentral
AACGAACGCUGGCGGCAUGCCUAACACAUGCAAGUCGAACGAGACCUUCGGGUCUAGUGGCGCACGGGUGCGUAGCGCGUGGGAACCUGCCCUUAGGUUCGGAAUAACUCCCCGAAAGGGGUGCUAAUACCGGAUAAUGUCUUCGGACCAAUGAUUUAUCGCCUUUGGAUGGGCCCGCGUUGGAUUAGCUAGUUGGUAGGGUAAAAGCCUACCAAGGCGACGAUCCAUAGCUGGUCUGAGAGGAUGAUCAGCCACACUGGGACUGAGACACGGCCCAGACUCCUACGGGAGGCAGCAGUGGGGAAUAUUGGACAAUGGGCGAAAGCCUGAUCCAGCAAUGCCGCGUGAGUGAUGAAGGCCUUAGGGUUGUAAAGCUCUUUUACCCGGGAUGAUAAUGACAGUACCGGGAGAAUAAGCUCCGGCUAACUCCGUG